Saccostrea cuccullata (small rock oyster) is the source of this 537-nucleotide long non-coding RNA. RefSeq lists it as uncharacterized. Lineage: Eukaryota; Metazoa; Mollusca; Bivalvia; Ostreida; Ostreidae. The transcript has 3 exons. The record is from RefSeq and is a predicted model, not a curated record.
CAUAAUUCUGUGCAUCAGUUUUUGAUAAGUACAAACCAGUAGAGCUACAGUCUCGACAGAGACUUCUGGUUAUUUUUUCUUCCAUCCCGGUUGUUGCUAAUGCUAUUACAUAAUUAGUUUAGAUUAGAAUGCAAUAGUACCUGGACAUAAUUUAUCAUUUCAGAGAGAAGAAAACUGUGUGACUUUAAAAGAAAACCAGUGAGAUAAAAUAGAAAAUGUAUGAUGAUUCAGGAUGUGGUCAUUUGGUCUUGUUCUGUGGAUGCCCUAAGACAGUGUCUACCCAUCACUCCAUCUGAAAUCACUUGUUCUGUGCAUAUUUCUCUCUCAAACUUAAACUACAGAGAGCCUGUGGAUAGAGGAUGAAGAGUGACCUUGAACUUAUUUCCUAGGUCAAAGAUCAUAGGUGAUGUGAAGAAAACCAGGAAACUGAUGUUGAAAGAAGUACUUAAUGACCCUUAUGAAUGGACUUAAAUGUGAAAGACUGUUCCAUUGUUUAUCUAAGAUAUAUGAAUUUAUUUAAUAUUUUGAUAUCAUUGA